CCUACGGGUGGCAGCAGUGGGGAAUAUUGCACAAUGGGGGAAACCCUGAUGCAGCGACGCCGCGUGAGUGAAGAAGUAAUUCGUUACGUAAAGCUCUUUCAGCAGGGAAGAAAAUGACGGUACCUGAGUAAGAAGCCCCGGCUAACUACGUGCCAGCAGCCGCGGUAAUACGUAGGGGGCAAGCGUUAUCCGGAUUUACUGGGUGGAAAGGGAGCGUAGACGGUGCGCCAAGUCUGGAGUGAAAUGCCGGAGCUUAACUGCGGAACUGCUUUGGAAACUGGCGAACUAGAGUGCGGGAGGGGUAAGCGGAAUUCGUAGUGUAGCGGUGAAAUGCGUAGAUAUUAGGAGGAACACCGGUGGCGAAGGCGGCUUACUGGAUCGUAACUGACGUUGAGGCUCGAAAGCGUGGGGAGCAAACAGGAUUAGAUACCCGGGUAGUC
RNAcentral lists this ribosomal RNA (440 nucleotides) under uncultured bacterium. RNAcentral's name for it is "partial 16S ribosomal RNA". It matches the Rfam family "Bacterial small subunit ribosomal RNA", at positions 338 to 795 of the family's 1533-position model. The record is from RNAcentral.